CAUUUUUGCACGAUUAAGGUUUUUGUUUUUGUUUUUCUCAAGCAGAAGAUUGAAUGUUCUUGAAUGAUCAAGAAUUAGAAAAAUGGGUAAAGUUAUACCUUUUAUCAAGCAGAAGAUUGAAUGUUCAAAAAUGGGUUUCGAUUUAGGGUUUAUACCCUCAUUUUCAUCAAAAAAAAAGAAAGAAAGAGAAAAGGGUUUUGAUUUUAUGAAGCAGAAGAUUGAAUAUUACCGUAGCAAACAGAAGAGAUUAUCGGCAUAGAUCGAGCAUACCAGUUUCUUGAUCUUUCAACAACCCACCGAACACCACAGCGUUUGCGUGUUUCGUUAUUUUCUUGUUUCUUGAAGAAGAAAGAAUGAAUUUUUC
This 364-nucleotide long non-coding RNA is filed under the name Trifolium pratense (red clover). Its description in RNAcentral is "long non-coding RNA (TPRA_LNC005430)". The record is from RNAcentral. Lineage: Eukaryota; Viridiplantae; Streptophyta; Magnoliopsida; Fabales; Fabaceae.